UACAGAGGGUGCAAGCGUUAUCCGGAUUCACUGGGUUUAAAGGGUGCGUAGGCGGGUUGGUAAGUCCGUGGUGAAAUCUCCGAGCUUAACUCGGAAACUGCCGUGGAUACUAUCAAUCUUGAAUAUCGUGGAGGUAAGCGGAAUAUGUCAUGUAGCGGUGAAAUGCUUAGAUAUGACAUAGAACACCAAUUGCGGAGGCAGCUUACUAGACGAUCAUUGACGCUGAGGCACGAAAGCGUGGGGAGCAAACAGG
Molecule: ribosomal RNA, 253 nt
Filed under: uncultured bacterium
Lineage: Bacteria
Description: partial 16S ribosomal RNA
Rfam family: Bacterial small subunit ribosomal RNA
Source: RNAcentral